This 429-nucleotide unclassified non-coding RNA is filed under the name soil metagenome. Its description in RNAcentral is "partial contains 5.8S ribosomal RNA, internal transcribed spacer 2, and large subunit ribosomal RNA". The stretch from base 1 to 120 matches the Rfam family "5.8S ribosomal RNA", at positions 35 to 154 of the family's 154-position model. The record is from RNAcentral.
GAUGAAGAACGCAGCGAAAUGCGAUACGUAAUGUGAAUUGCAGAAUUCAGUGAAUCAUCGAAUCUUUGAACGCAUAUUGCGCUCUCUGGUAUUCCGGAGAGCAUGCUUGUUUGAGUAUCAGUAAACACCUCAACUCCCUUUUCUUUUUUGAAAUUGGAGCUGGACUUGAGUGAUCCCAACGCUUUCUUCCAAGAAAGUGGCGGGUUGCUUGAAAUGCAGGUGCAGCUGAACUUUUCUCUGAGCUAUAAGCAUAUCUAUUUAGUCUGCCUAAAAAACAGAUUAUUACCUUUGCUGCAGCUAACAUAAAGGAGACUAGUUCUUGUGCUGACUGAUGCAGGAUUCACAGAGACAGCUUCGGCUGACUUUGUAAACUCGAUCUCAAAUCAAGUAAGACUACCCGCUGAACUUAAGCAUAUCAAUAAGCGAGGA